AGGACGAACGCUGGCGGCGUGGAUUAGGCAUGCAAGUUGAGCGACGGAUAGUCUUCGGACUAUUACGGAGCAGCGAACGGGUGAGUAACACGUGAACAAUCUGUCCCUUCAUUCCGGAUAAUUGGGAGAAAUCCCUUGUAAUACGGGCGAGGGUCCUCGGGGUGCAUACUUUGAGGAAGGAAGGCGCAAGCCGUGCAGGGAGGAGUUCGCGGCCUAUCAGUUAGUUGGUGGGGUAACGGCCUACCAAGACUACGACGGGUAGCUGGU
Molecule: ribosomal RNA, 267 nt
Filed under: uncultured bacterium
Lineage: Bacteria
Description: partial small subunit ribosomal RNA
Rfam family: Bacterial small subunit ribosomal RNA
Source: RNAcentral